ACACGACUACAUUAGAUACCCGUGUAGUCCCAGCCGUAAACUAUGCGCGUUAGGUGUAUCGGUGACCACGAGUCACCGAGGUGCCGAAGGAAACCGUGAAACGUGCCGCCUGGGAAGUACGGUCGCAAGGCUGAAACUUAAAGGAAUUGGCGGGGAGCACCACAACGGGUGGAGCCUGCGGUUUAAUUGGACUCAACGCCGGGAAGCUCACCGGAUAAGACAGCGGAAUGAUUGCCGGGCUGAAGACUCUGCAUGACUAGCUG
RNAcentral lists this ribosomal RNA (263 nucleotides) under uncultured archaeon. RNAcentral describes it as "partial 16S ribosomal RNA". It matches the Rfam family "Archaeal small subunit ribosomal RNA", at positions 719 to 982 of the family's 1478-position model. The record is from RNAcentral.